UGUGUGAGGCCCUUUUGUCCCAUCGGAGGAGAAAAGGAGCACGGACAGAGCAGGUCUGUCUCAGAGGGGAGACUCACGUCCCCCCGGCCCGGAGAUGCAGCAGGACAAGUGAAGUCAGGGCGGUCACUGGGAAAACGCUUUUCUCUCUGCUAUGGACUCAACCUGCAGCAGCUGACCUUUUACCGAGCGGAGAGGAUCGUGAGGACCGGACACUGGAGCAGCUCACUCAGUGCCCCUGAGGGCUGAUUCACGUAGGUCACACCAGCAGACGAA
Molecule: long non-coding RNA, 273 nt
Filed under: Scophthalmus maximus (turbot)
Lineage: Eukaryota; Metazoa; Chordata; Actinopteri; Pleuronectiformes; Scophthalmidae
Description: lncRNA (ENSSMAG00000025392.1)
Source: RNAcentral